This 77-nucleotide transfer RNA is filed under the name Escherichia coli. RNAcentral describes it as "tRNA-Arg". It matches the Rfam family "tRNA". Rfam says of the family: Transfer RNA (tRNA) molecules are approximately 80 nucleotides in length. Their secondary structure includes four short double-helical elements and three loops (D, anti-codon, and T loops). The record is from RNAcentral. Lineage: Bacteria; Pseudomonadati; Pseudomonadota; Gammaproteobacteria; Enterobacterales; Enterobacteriaceae.
GCGCCCUUAGCUCCGUUGGAUAGAGCAACGACCUUCUAAGUCGUGGGCCGCAGGUUCGAAUCCUGCAGGGCGCGCCA